AUUGACCGCACUAAGCUCUUGUUUUUUCAUUCAUGAUUUGUUAGAUGUCAAUGGAAAUGGAGAAUACCAAUAGGGCAACGACUCCAAUAAUGGAAUCAAGAGAUGGAGAAGGAUUUGAUGAGGCAUCCGACACAAACAAGGCGAUUACAACUUGGAGUCUUGGAGCAGUCUUUUCUUUUGUGGAUAAAUUAAAGUUCUAAGUUGGAGAUGACUUGUGGAUCUUUUGUAGACUUGGUUCUAGAUCCAAAUCUUGAGAAGUUUUUAUUUACGUUGGCUUUUGAGCUCUCAAAGCUUGAGAAGUUGCCUGCUUUUUAAUUAUUGAGAAGAUUACUAUUCAACUU
Rhodamnia argentea is the source of this 341-nucleotide long non-coding RNA. RefSeq lists it as uncharacterized. Lineage: Eukaryota; Viridiplantae; Streptophyta; Magnoliopsida; Myrtales; Myrtaceae. The transcript is spliced from 2 exons. The record is from RefSeq and is a predicted model, not a curated record.